This is a non-coding RNA of Caenorhabditis elegans, 141 nucleotides long. Lineage: Eukaryota; Metazoa; Nematoda; Chromadorea; Rhabditida; Rhabditidae. The record is from Ensembl.
GUGACCGUCGUUAUCAGUGUGUCGAUCUGAUGACGAUUUGGAACUUGAAACUCGGGGUCGAGGAGAAUGACUGCACAAACAGCAUAUAACAUUAAAGCACAGAGGGCGCAGAGGAUCGGUGUUUCAGGCGAGCGCCAAGGA